AUGGCCGAGCUGCUGUUCGCCCCCGCCGUGGCCGGCCUCGUCCACCUGCCGGAGGUGCUCGAGCGCCUCGCCGCUGCGGACGCCGACCACCGCGACCACGCCCACCACCACACCGCCCACGGGCACGGGCACGGCCACCCCCGCGCGCAGAUCGGGGGCGUGGGCGGCGGCGCGCCCGUGGACAUCGUGGAGACCCCCGCCGAGUACGCCUUCCUGCUCGACGUCCCCGGCCUCUCCAAGUCCGACAUCCAGGUGACUCUGGAGGAGGACAACGUGCUGGUGAUGAAGAGCGCCAGCAACGGCGGCGGCGGCGCCAACGGGAAACGGAAGCGGGAGGAGGAGGAGGCGGACUGCCGCUACAUCCGGCUGGAGCGCCGCGCGUCGCCGCGGUCGUUCGUGCGCAAGUUCCGGCUGCCGGAGGACGCGGAUGCGGGCGCCGUGGCCGCGCGCUGCGAGAACGGCGUGCUCACCGUCACCGUCAAGAAGCAGCCGCCGCCGGAGAAGAAGACCAAGUCCGUCCAGGUCGCCAUCGCCUGA
RNAcentral lists this ribosomal RNA (537 nucleotides) under Triticum aestivum (bread wheat). RNAcentral describes it as "partial small subunit ribosomal RNA". Lineage: Eukaryota; Viridiplantae; Streptophyta; Magnoliopsida; Poales; Poaceae. The record is from RNAcentral.